This 411-nucleotide long non-coding RNA is filed under the name Nicotiana benthamiana. RNAcentral's name for it is "long non-coding RNA (NBEN_LNC009962)". The record is from RNAcentral. Lineage: Eukaryota; Viridiplantae; Streptophyta; Magnoliopsida; Solanales; Solanaceae.
UUGGCUAUACAAUGCUUGUCCUCAGCUUGAUUAAUGUGUUCAAAGGCCUUGACAUACUAGAUCCCGCGACUAAGUGGAGAUCUGCAUAUAUUGGUAUACUAGUGGUGUUAGGAGCAAUUGCGGUAUUGUUGGAAGUGAUUACCUGGAUUGUUGUGUUAAAGAGGAAAUCUAACAAAUCCACCAAACCAUAUGAUGGUUGAUUUUUACAUUGGCCAUGGGAGACGCCCUAUUGUUGGAAGUGAUUACCUGGAUUGUUGUGUUAAAGAGGAAAUCUAACAAAUCCACCAAACCAUAUGAUGGUUGAUUUUUACAUUGGCCAUGGAAGACUAUAACCCUGCGUUCAUGAUCGUUUGCUAUUGUUAUCACUGCCCAUAUCAGUUAUAUAUAUAUAUAUAUAUAUAUAUAUAUAUA